GUGCCAGCAGCCGCGGUAAUACCGGCAGCCCGAGUGAUGGCCGAUCUUAUUGGGCCUAAAGCGUCCGUAGCUGGCCGACCAAGUCUCCCGGGAAAUCCACCCGCCCAACGGGUGGGCGUCCGACGGAAACUGCACAGCUUGGGACCGGAAGGCUCGAAGGGUACGUUCGGGGUAGGAGUGAAAUCCCGUAAUCCUGGACGGACCGCCGAUGGCGAAAGCACGUCGCGAGAACGGAUCCGACAGUGAGGGACGAAAGCCAGGGUCUCGAACCGGAUUAGAAACCCUAGUAGUCC
This 293-nucleotide ribosomal RNA is filed under the name uncultured bacterium. RNAcentral's name for it is "partial 16S ribosomal RNA". It matches the Rfam family "Archaeal small subunit ribosomal RNA", at positions 455 to 747 of the family's 1478-position model. The record is from RNAcentral.